This 192-nucleotide ribosomal RNA is filed under the name uncultured Enterobacterales bacterium. RNAcentral describes it as "partial 16S ribosomal RNA". It matches the Rfam family "Bacterial small subunit ribosomal RNA", at positions 140 to 334 of the family's 1533-position model. The record is from RNAcentral. Lineage: Bacteria; Pseudomonadati; Pseudomonadota; Gammaproteobacteria; Enterobacterales.
GGGAUAACUACUGGAAACGGUAGCUAAUACCGCAUAACGUCGCAAGACCAAAGAGGGGGACCUUCGGGCCUCUUGCCAUCAGAUGUGCCCAGAUGGGAUUAGCUAGUUGGUGAGGUAACGGCUCACCAAGGCCACGAUGCAUAGCCGACCUGAGAGGGUGAUCGGCCACACUGGGACUGAGACACGGCCCAG